This 397-nucleotide ribosomal RNA is filed under the name uncultured bacterium. RNAcentral's name for it is "partial 16S ribosomal RNA". It matches the Rfam family "Bacterial small subunit ribosomal RNA", at positions 523 to 918 of the family's 1533-position model. The record is from RNAcentral.
AUACGUAGGGGGCGAGCGUUGUCCGGAAUGAUUGGGCGUAAAGGGCGCGUAGGCGGCCCGGUAAGUCUGGAGUGAAAGUCCUGUUUUUAAGAUGGGAAUUGCUUUGGAUACUGUCGGGCUUGAGUGCAGGAGAGGUAAGUGGAAUUCCCAGUGUAGCGGUGAAAUGCGUAGAGAUUGGGAGGAACACCAGUGGCGAAGGCGACUUACUGGACUGUAACUGACGCUGAGGCGCGAAAGUGUGGGGAGCAAACAGGAUUAGAUACCCUGGUAGUCCACACUGUAAACGAUGAAUGCUAGGUGUAGGGGGUAUCGACCCCUUCUGUGCCGCAGUUAACACAAUAAGCAUUCCGCCUGGGGAGUACGGCCGCAAGGUUGAAACUUAAAGGAAUUGACGGGG